AAGGAAAACAGAAACAAGACCUACAGGCACUCUUCGUACCUGGUGAAAGGUGGUGCAUGGUUGUCCUCAGCUCGUGUCGUGAGAUGUUGGGUUAAGUCCCGCAACGAGCGCCACCCUCCUUUUUUGUUUCCCGCACGUUAUGGGGGGAACUCCUGGGAUACUGCCGGGGUCAACUCGGAGGAAGGGGGGGAUGACC
RNAcentral lists this ribosomal RNA (196 nucleotides) under uncultured Actinomycetes bacterium. RNAcentral's name for it is "uncultured actinobacterium partial 16S ribosomal RNA". The stretch from base 48 to 196 matches the Rfam family "Bacterial small subunit ribosomal RNA", at positions 1036 to 1184 of the family's 1533-position model. Lineage: Bacteria; Bacillati; Actinomycetota; Actinomycetes. The record is from RNAcentral.